RNAcentral lists this ribosomal RNA (252 nucleotides) under uncultured bacterium. RNAcentral describes it as "partial 16S ribosomal RNA". It matches the Rfam family "Bacterial small subunit ribosomal RNA", at positions 524 to 776 of the family's 1533-position model. The record is from RNAcentral.
UACGAAGGGGGCUAGCGUUAAUCGGAAUUACUGGGCGUAAAGCGUGCGCAGGCGGUGAUGUAAGACAGGUGUGAAAUCCCCGGGCUUAACCUGGGAACUGCAUUUGUGACUGCAUCGCUGGAGUGCGGCAGAGGGGGAUGGAAUUCCGCGUGUAGCAGUGAAAUGCGUAGAUAUGCGGAGGAACACCGAUGGCGAAGGCAAUCCCCUGGGCCUGCACUGACGCUCAUGCACGAAAGCGUGGGAGCAAACAGG